AUAAGGAAGAUAAAAAAUAUGCUUCUCUUUCUCCACUGUUUUCAUCUAUCUUCAGCAAUAGUUUUUACUCGAGUUCUUUUACCUUUGGCAUUCGACUCAGGUGCUUUCCCAAAAUUGGCAUUGAUUCCUUCCAUUUGUUUCAAGAUGUCUGACCCUGAUAAUGCUAUUGGUGGCUCCCGUUGCUCGAUUUUCCAAUUAAAACGUACACGCUGCAAUCUAAACUGAUGUCCGCUUUCAAGAAAACGGCGAUGACCCAUGAAAAACCAUUUUAUUCUAUACUUUAACCUGCAA
Molecule: long non-coding RNA, 291 nt
Filed under: Nicotiana benthamiana
Lineage: Eukaryota; Viridiplantae; Streptophyta; Magnoliopsida; Solanales; Solanaceae
Description: long non-coding RNA (NBEN_LNC035878)
Source: RNAcentral